This 82-nucleotide transfer RNA is filed under the name Dermacentor silvarum. RNAcentral's name for it is "transfer RNA leucine (anticodon CAG)". It matches the Rfam family "tRNA". From Rfam's summary of the family: Transfer RNA (tRNA) molecules are approximately 80 nucleotides in length. Their secondary structure includes four short double-helical elements and three loops (D, anti-codon, and T loops). Further hydrogen bonds mediate the characteristic L-shaped molecular structure. tRNAs have two regions of fundamental functional importance: the anti-codon, which is responsible for specific mRNA codon recognition, and the 3' end, to which the tRNAs corresponding amino acid is attached (by aminoacyl-tRNA synthetases). tRNAs cope with the degeneracy of the genetic code in two manners: having more than one tRNA (with a specific anti-codon) for a particular amino acid; and 'wobble' base-pairing, i.e. permitting non-standard base-pairing at the 3rd anti-codon position. Lineage: Eukaryota; Metazoa; Arthropoda; Arachnida; Ixodida; Ixodidae. The record is from RNAcentral.
GGUAGUGUGGCCGAGUGGUCUAAGGCGCUGGUUUCAGGUACCAGUCUCUUCGGAGGCGCGGGUUCGAAUCCCGUCGCUACCA